GGAAAACUUACCAGGUCCAGACAUAAUGAGGAUUGACAGAUUGAGAGCUCUUUCUUGAUUUUAUGGGUGGUGGUGCAUGGCCGUUCUUAGUUGGUGGAGUGAUUUGUCUGGUUAAUUCCGUUAACGAACGAGACCGCCGCCUGCUAAAUAGGUCCGUGAAUGAAUUUCAUUGACGAGAUCUUCUUAGAGGGACUUUUGGUGACUAACCAAAGGAAGUUGGGGGCAAUAA
This 229-nucleotide ribosomal RNA is filed under the name uncultured eukaryote. Its description in RNAcentral is "partial small subunit ribosomal RNA". It matches the Rfam family "Eukaryotic small subunit ribosomal RNA", at positions 1208 to 1456 of the family's 1831-position model. The record is from RNAcentral.